AGAGUUUGAUCCUGGCUCAGGAUGAACGCUGGCGGCGUGCCUAACACAUGCAAGUCGAACGGGGUAUAUAAGCGGAAGUUUACGGAUGGAAGGUUAUAUACCCAGUGGCGGACGGGUGAGUAACGCGUGGGCAACCUGCCCCGUGCCGGGGGAUACCGCCUGGAAACAGGCGCUAAUACCGCAUAAGCGCAUACAGCCGCAUGGGUGUAUGCGGAAAGCUCCGGCGGCACGGGAUGGGCCCGCGCCCGAUUAGCCAGUUGGCGGGGUAACGGCCCACCAAAGCGACGAUCGGUAGCCGGCCUGAGAGGGCGGACGGCCACAUUGGGACUGAGACACGGCCCAAACUCCUACGGGAGGCAGCAGUGGGGAAUAUUGCACAAUGGGGGAAACCCUGAUGCAGCAACGCCGCGUGGGUGAAGGAGCGUUUCGGCGCGUAAAGCCCCGUCAGCGGGGAAGAAGAAAGACGGUACCCGACCAAGAAGCCCCGGCUAACUACGUG
This 499-nucleotide ribosomal RNA is filed under the name uncultured Lachnospiraceae bacterium. RNAcentral's name for it is "bacterial SSU rRNA". It matches the Rfam family "Bacterial small subunit ribosomal RNA", at positions 8 to 507 of the family's 1533-position model. Lineage: Bacteria; Bacillati; Bacillota; Clostridia; Lachnospirales; Lachnospiraceae. The record is from RNAcentral.